UACGGAGGGGGCAAGCGUUGUUCGGAUUUACUGGGCGUAAAGGGAGCGUAGGCGGUUGGUCAAGUCCGGUGUGAAAGCUUUACCACUUAACGGAAAGAGGUCAUCGGAUACUGGCUGGCUAGAGUAGGGUAGAGGCAAGCGGAAUUCCUGGUGUAGCGGUGGAAUGUGUAGAUAUCAGGAAGAACAUCGGUGGCGAAGGCGGCUUGCUGGGCCCUUACUGACGCUGAGGCUCGAAAGCGUGGGGAGCAAACGGG
RNAcentral lists this ribosomal RNA (254 nucleotides) under uncultured bacterium. RNAcentral describes it as "partial 16S ribosomal RNA". It matches the Rfam family "Bacterial small subunit ribosomal RNA", at positions 524 to 776 of the family's 1533-position model. The record is from RNAcentral.